RNAcentral lists this ribosomal RNA (435 nucleotides) under uncultured bacterium. RNAcentral describes it as "partial 16S ribosomal RNA". It matches the Rfam family "Bacterial small subunit ribosomal RNA", at positions 29 to 507 of the family's 1533-position model. The record is from RNAcentral.
AGCGAACGCUGGCGGCAGGCUUAACACAUGCAAGUCGAGCGGGCACUUUCGGGUGUCAGCGGCGGACGGGUGAGUAACGCGUGGGAACGUGCCCUCUGGUUCGGAAUAACUCAGGGAAACUUGAGCUAAUACCGGAUACGCCCUUUUGGGGAAAGGCUUGCUGCCGGAGGAUCGGCCCGCGUCUGAUUAGCUAGUUGGUGAGGUAACGGCUCACCAAGGCGACGAUCAGUAGCUGGUCUGAGAGGAUGAUCAGCCACACUGGGACUGAGACACGGCCCAGACUCCUACGGGAGGCAGCAGUGGGGAAUAUUGGACAAUGGGCGCAAGCCUGAUCCAGCCAUGCCGCGUGAGUGAUGAAGGCCUUAGGGUUGUAAAGCUCUUUUAUCCGGGACGAUAAUGACGGUGCCGGAGGAAUAAGCCCCGGCUAACUUCGUG